RNAcentral lists this long non-coding RNA (1629 nucleotides) under Vigna radiata. Its description in RNAcentral is "long non-coding RNA (VRAD_LNC012734)". The record is from RNAcentral. Lineage: Eukaryota; Viridiplantae; Streptophyta; Magnoliopsida; Fabales; Fabaceae.
GUCUUUUUAUCAAACAGCUUGUGUGCAGAGUUUCAAACAGAUAAAAAUCAAGCAAUUAACCGGCUUUCAACGAAGGAUGGCACUCAAAAUGAUCUUAGGAAAGGUUCUAGAUUAGAUUAAAAACGCAAGAAAAGUAAUUCAUGCUGCAACAAAUUGAAAUUGAAUGAUUUCACACAAUUUAGCAAACUGUUUGAUGAAAUGUCUCAAAGACAAACAGGAUUUUGAAUUUUUUUUCUGCAAUUGGUUAUCACUGUUUAAUAGGGGAUUGCGGGACUAUUCGCUUUUUAAAUUGAUUUGCAGGUUACAAUGACAGUAAAGAACGUUUCAAAAUGAUCCUAGCUUUUGCCAAUCCCAAACAAUCAAAUAAGACACCAAAUCUCAAUUUUUUUUUUUAAUGAGCAAACAAACUUAAAGCACUACUAUGCUGACUGGAACUCUACUUGAAUCAGUAACACAGCAGUAGAAUUGGCUAUUUUCCAGUUUCAGNAAGUUUUAAUGGUGCACAGGUUGGUGUCUAAGCAGUCAUACACGUUCAAAAUAGUACACAACAGAAUUUCACUAUGUCACUUCCAAGAAAAUGGUCAAAUGAGGUGUUUUAGGUAGUGAAACCAUGCAUAAUUGCAAAUCUGACCAUAUGAACAAUGAAUACUAAUUUUGAUUCAAUUAAUACAGGUGUUAGCUCAACAAAAUCAGUAAGAAACAGCUGAAUUAAUAUGAUGACUGCACUAGUUGAGAAAUUCAAGCAAAAUUAGGAAGUGGCAUGAUGAUUUUGUGCAUUAUUGGAAGAAUGAUCAUAAAAUCAGUUUGGACACACUUUAAAUGACCAAACGAAGUUGUCUAAAUGUGUUCAAUGCACAAAAUACUGCAGAUACUCAAAUUCACCACUUGAGUUGCCAAAUUAUGCAGAAACCAGUAUGAUGCAGCACAGUAAAACCAGUUUUUGUUGGAUGCAACGUGAACAGACCAGCAAUUGAUGAAAACAAUGAAUCCUAACUCAAGAUCUAGCUUUAGAAAAUUAAGCUAGUGGAUUUCAUAGGUCCUAUGAUAUAUGCAAGGAGAUGUAGCACGGUGCCAAGCUAUGAAACAGAACCAUGACAGAUUUUCCAGAUUUAUGGUGACUGUUUUUCUGUGAAGUUUUAGCAAAUCUGUGAUGGCUAAUUAUUUUGAAAAGGUUUAGAUCAUCAUCACACAGAUUAUUACAAUGUAUGCAGUCACAUAAACUGGAUCAAACGCUGCACUUGACACAGAAAAUCAGCACGACAAUUUUUUUCAUUUUUUUUUUUUGGAACAAAAAAAUGACGCUGCAGCAGUACUUACUGCUGCCAGAAAAUGUUUGGCACUGCCUUAUACUCAAAUGAUUAAAGCUGGAUAAAUUUCCAUUGCUUUUUCGAUCAACAUAGAAUUAGCUAGUGCUUUUCAAGUAAAAUUUCGAAAGACAAUGAAGCUGAACAGAAUCAAAGACUGUAUGACAGUGUAAAACAGCAAACAACUUGCACAUUACUCAGACAAAACUGGAAAUGAAAAUACAGUGAGAAUAGAACUCAAACAAGACAAAGCACCAAUUAAAAUGAUAACACUAGAAUCUAUUGAACUGUGAACGAAGCAAGCAUUCACUUAAACAGAAAAAUU